GAUGAACGCUGGCGGCGUGCCUAAUACAUGCAAGUCGAGCGAACAUAUGAGGAGCUUGCUCCUCUGACGUUAGCGGCGGACGGGUGAGUAACACGUGGAUAACCUACCUAUAAGACUGGGAUAACUUCGGGAAACCGGAGCUAAUACCGGAUAAUAUCUUGAACCGCAUGGUUCAAUAGUGAAAGACGGUUUUGCUGUCACUUAUAGAUGGAUCCGCGCCGCAUUAGCUAGUUGGUAAGGUAACGGCUUACCAAGGCAACGAUGCGUAGCCGACCUGAGAGGGUGAUCGGCCACACUGGAACUGAGACACGGUCCAGACUCCUACGGGAGGCAGCAGUAGGGAAUCUUCCGCAAUGGGCGAAAGCCUGACGGAGCAACGCCGCGUGAGUGAUGAAGGUCUUCGGAUCGUAAAACUCUGUUAUUAGGGAAGAACAAAUGUGUAAGUAACUAUGCACGUCUUGACGGUACCUAAUCAGAAAGCCACGGCUAACUACGUG
Molecule: ribosomal RNA, 497 nt
Filed under: uncultured bacterium
Lineage: Bacteria
Description: partial 16S ribosomal RNA
Rfam family: Bacterial small subunit ribosomal RNA
Source: RNAcentral